UACGUAGGGGGCAAGCGUUAUCCGGAUUUACUGGGUGUAAAGGGAGCGUAGACGGCAUGGCAAGUCAGAUGUGAAAGCCCGGGGCUCAACUCCGGGACUGCAUUUGAAACUGUCAGGCUGGAGUGCAGGAGAGGUAAGCGGAAUUCCUAGUGUAGCGGUGAAAUGCGUAGAUAUUAGGAGGAACACCAGUGGCGAAGGCGGCUUACUGGACUGUAACUGACGUUGAGGCUCGAAAGCGUGGGGAGCAAACAGG
This 253-nucleotide ribosomal RNA is filed under the name uncultured bacterium. RNAcentral describes it as "partial 16S ribosomal RNA". It matches the Rfam family "Bacterial small subunit ribosomal RNA", at positions 524 to 776 of the family's 1533-position model. The record is from RNAcentral.